UAAUCUUACAUUUAGGAUUUUGUGAAAAUGGAAAAUUAUGAGGCAUUGGUAGGCUUUGAUCUCUGUAAUACACCGCUCUCCACUGUUGCUCAGAAGAUUAUGUCUGCUAUGCAUUCAGGUGAUUUAGUGGAUUCUAAGACUUGGGGAAAGAGUACAGAGACUACAGAAGUGAUAAACAAGUCCAGUGUUAAGUAUUCAGUACAACUUGAAGAUGGGAAGAAUCGAUCACCAGAAAAAAAGAAUCUUAAAUCUUUAAGAAGUCAGACAUCAAGAGGUUCCGCUAAGCUCUCUCCUCAGUCCUUCGGUGUCAGACUCACAGAUCAGCUAUCUACUGACCAAAAACAGAAGAGCAUCAGCUCAUUGGCUCUUUCAAGUUGUUUAAUUCCACGGUAUAAUCAAGAGGCUUCAGUUCUACAGAAAAAGGAGCAUGAAAGAAAGCAUUUCCUAAUGGAGAAUAUAAAUAAUGAAAAUAAAGGAAGCAUUAAUCUUAAAAGAAAACAUAUUACAUAUAAUAAUUCUUCAGAGAAAACAAGUAAACAAAUGGCAUUGGAAGAAGAUACUGAUGAGGCUGAAGCCUACCUAAAUUCUGGGAACUCAGGAGCAUUGAAAAAACAUUUUUGUGAUAUUAGGCAUUUGGAUGAUUGGGCAAAAAGCCAGCUGAUUGAAAUGCUCAAACAGGCAGCAGCCCUGGUGGUAACUCUGAUGUAUACUGAUGGUUCCACCCAGUUAAGAGCUGACCAGACCCCCAUUUCCUCUGUUAGAGGAAUUGUGAUGUUACUCAAGCGCCAAGCAGAGGGUGGCCAUGGUUGUCCAGAUGCCCCGGCCUGUGGUCCUGUCCUGGAGGGCUUUGUGUCGAAUGAUCCAUGCAUCUACAUUCAAAUAGAGCACUCUGCUAUCUGGGACCGAGAACAGGAGGCACAUCGACAAUUUGCCCGCUCUAACCAAAGAACCUCGACCUUCUGGGACCAAGAACAGGAGGCAUAUCAACAAUUUGCCAGGAACGUGCUAUUUCAAACACUGAAAUGUAAAUGUCCUGUUAUUUGUUUUAAUGCUAAGGAUUUUGUGAGAAUAGUGCUGCAGUUUUUUGGUAAUGAUGGCAGUUGGAAGCAUGUUGCUGAUUUUGUAGGGUUAGAUCCCAGAAUUGCUGCAUGGCUUAUAGAUCCUAGUGAUGCCGUACCCUCUUUUGAAGAUUUAGUAGAAAAAUACUGUGAAAAAUCCAUUACGGUUAAAGUGAACAGCACAUAUGAAAAUUCCUCAAGAAAUAUUGUGAAUCAGAAUGUACGUGACAACCUGAAGAUACUCUACAGACUUACAAUGGACCUUUGCUGUAAACUGAAGGAGUAUGGUUUAUGGCAACUAUUUUGUACUUUGGAGGUUCCUUUGAUACCAAUUUUGGCAGUGAUGGAAAGCCACGCCAUUCAGGUGAACAAAGAGGAGAUGGAGAAGAUAUCAGCACUUCUUGGGGCUCGUCUCAAGGAAUUGGAGCAAGAAGCUCAUUUUGUUGCAGGAGAACGGUUUCUUAUAAUGAGCAGUAACCAGCUUCGAGAGAUCCUCUUUGGCAAGUUAAAGCUGCACCUGCUGAGUCGAAGGAACAGUCUCCCCAGAACGGGGCUGCAGAAAUACCCAUCCACAUCAGAAGCAGUGUUAAAUGCUCUGCGAGACCUUCAUCCAUUACCCAAGAUAAUUUUGGAAUACAGGCAGGUUCACAAGAUCAAGUCAACCUUUGUAGAUGGAUUAUUAGCUUGUAUGAAAAAGGGCUCCAUUUCCUCUACAUGGAAUCAGACUGGAACUGUGACUGGAAGACUUUCAGCCAAGCAUCCUAAUAUCCAAGGUAUCUCCAAGCACCCAAUUCAGAUUACUAAACCUAAGAAUUUUAAAGGUAAAGAAGAUGAAAUUCUCACGAUCUCCCCGAGGGCCAUGUUUGUUUCAUCCAAAGGCCACACCUUUCUAGCAGCAGACUUUUCACAGAUUGAAUUGCGCAUUCUUGCACAUUUAUCUGGGGAUCCAGAACUUCUGAAGUUAUUCCAGGAAUCUGAAAGAGAUGAUGUAUUUUCUACUCUGACUUCACAGUGGAAGGACGUGCCCAUGGAACACGUGACACACGCAGACAGAGAGCAAACCAAGAGGGUGGUAUACGCGGUGGUCUAUGGAGCAGGGAAGGAGAGGCUUGCUGCUUGCCUUGGAGUUCCUGUUCAGGAAGCUGCCCAGUUUUUGGAGAGUUUUUUGCAGAAGUACAAGAAAAUCAAGGACUUUGCCCGAGCAGCUAUUGCCCAGUGUCACCGGACAGGCUAUGUGGUAUCCAUCAUGGGCAGAAGGAGACCCCUGCCAAGGAUUCACGCUCAUGACCAGCAACUCCGGGCACAAGCAGAGCGACAGGCAGUGAACUUUGUGGUGCAAGGCUCCGCUGCUGACCUCUGCAAGCUGGCCAUGAUCCGUGUCUUCACUGCAGUGGCCACUUCCCGCACCUUGACAGCCAGGAGUAACGUGGAUGGCAUCUGGAAGGGACGGGUGCAGACUCAGUGUGGCCGGGCAUCUCUGCCUGAAGCAGCAGGCAUGAAACUCGAUCACUGGGAGGCACACGGUGCCCCUAGAGUGAGCCGAGAUCGCACCACUGCACUCCAGCCUGGGCGAGAGCGAGAUGCUGUCUAACAACAAAAAAGAUUCAUCUGGCCGCCCCGAGGGUCUGCCCAGGUGGGCUGGGGCCACAGGACAGUCCCCAUUCCCCACCCACAGUCCCUGUGAUAGAGAAAUGGCAUUUGUUCUUGCCUCUCGGUCCAGACCCUAAAAAGACCAGAGAGGUCGGGCUCAGAGCAGGAGGCCAGUGGCCAGUGUUCACAGGCCUCUGUGCCAUGGCUCAGCUGUCCUGUCUCUUCUGAUGCAGGCCCUUUAUGAAAAGGCCUUCCUGGGUUUCAGAACGUGUCAGUGCUGUGACGGUCCCUCUCCUGGGCCUUCUCAAGGCGGGUCUGCAUGAGGCCACCAUGCGCCCACACUCAGGAUGAGUCCACAAAACAGUUCAGCAGGGCUGGGGGCAUCCAUUGCAAGGAAGCUGCCCCUGCAGGCCCCAGACAGGGCAAAGCAGUGAGGCUCUUCUGGAACAUUCUCCUACUCGUGCAGUGAUCUCAGUGAGGCCAUCCAGAUGCCGAACACAGCAGCUCUGUGGCCGACCCCUCUCAGGAACAGGGAUAUGAGUUGCACCAGAGAUCCACUCCCUUCCGGAACACAACAGGAUCCAAGGUCCUGCAUUCCUCUACCCCACACGGAGACGACAGACGUCCUUCUUCUUUCACCCAUGCCCCAUUUCCCAAUUAGAAGCGCGGUCAUGUCUCAGUGGCUGCAAGAAUGAUGUGUAAGUAACUGACAACUACACCUAUUCUUAGGUUCCUGCCACACCAGCAGCUCAGAAUUUCACAAUGUAAUUUCAAGAAGUGUGAAAACUGCUUCUGCUAAAUCUGGAAAAAGUUACAAGUGCCUUUUCUGAGGUUUCUGCCCAUUUGAAAAGUAAGUUCUCUUGGGAGACAAAGACUUCUGCCCGAGGCCUUGAAGUUAGUUUAAGACAAGCUCGCUGGUGCUGACAGCCUGGGGCUCUCUCACCCCUCUGACUUCUGGAAGGGCAGCGUCCACGGCCCCUGGCCAGAGGUUGCACAUAAAGCACAGGCCCACCUCCCGCUCCCUGGGGGCAGCCUGCCAGGUACAGGGUGUGAGCAGCACUGUACCACUGUCUGGGCCCACGUAGUGUGCUGUGGAUGUACACCCAGGAGGAUGGACACUUGGCCGUCAGGGACACAGGCCCAAGCUACAAUAGCUCAAGUUCCAGAAGGCAGAUUUCUCUCCCAUCAUGAGAAGUCCAGAGAACAGUGGUUGCUGUUUCAGAGGCACAGAGCAGCAGGACCGAAGUCCCUCUGGCUCCCUGGCCACUCCCUCCUGGUGCUAUGAUGGAGGUUGCUGCUCCAGCCAUCACACCUUCCAGGCAAAAGGAGAAAGUAGUAGUGGUCAGAAGAGCAUCUGCCCCUGGCAGCCCUUUACAGUCAGCCCUUUAAAGAGCCUUCCCUUUUAGGAGCUUUCCUGGAGUCUCCUUUUCCAUCCCACUCCUCACCUCCCUCCCUGCUAAGGGGGGAAAAAAAAAAAUAGCCUCCUUGCGAGCUGGAGGGAAUGCGGUCCUGGGCCACCCUGCCUGAGAGAGAGCCUGCGAAAUGUCCUUUGCAGCUGAGGACACAGCCCCACCUCCACCCCAUCCGGCAACAAAGGGACCAACGUGAAGAAAGAGAGGAAGGGCGGAUUGGGGCAGGUUACCAGAAAUCGCUGUUGCAAAGUCCACGUCCCCUGUGGAAAGUGCCAGCAUGGCCCACCUGUACCCUGGGGCUUGAAGGCUGCCCCUCAUCCCAGCUGGGGCUCUCCAUCACAUGCCCGUGACUACUGCCUGGCGAGGGCUCCCUGGCAGCCCAGCUCCCUAGGGCCCUGGGCCCGCUGUGCCCCUGUCUGUGCCGGCCAAGGACGGGCAGCAGGGUCAAAGAUAGGACGUGACCCCUGCCCAUGAAGGCUCAAUCCAGGAGACAGAGCCAAGGUCACACAGAGGACAAAGCGUGUGGGACCCCUUGGCACCCCAUCCUUCCCAGCAGCUCAUCCUGUGAGUCUCCCACACCGCAUGUACCCUUCCGAGGGCACAGGGUGAGCUGCCCGUGUCCACCCGACAUGAGAGGCUGGCAGUGGGUCUGGGGGCAGCAGGCCUCAGCAGAGGUCUCACAUCACCAACAUUUGAGGCAUCAUCUGCCCAAGGUGUGUAUCACCCAUUUCCAAGGAGCAUGUGGAGCCGCAGCGCCCUGGCCGAAUCCAGCUGUGGCCGGGUCUGUGCCCAGCGUGGUGUGGGCCCUUAAGAGCUGAUCGCCCGGAGCCAUGAUCCGUCCACCUUGUGCACACUUGAACUUGUACUUCAAUCUGUAAGCCCUGCCCCAGGGACCUGCCCCCGGCAGUGCAUGUCACCGGAAUGUCCUCCCACUCGGGUCCCACCUGCUCUCCCUGCUGACGCCCUGGGAGGGGCACUGAGGGGCUCCAUGAAGGAGGCUGGGGAAGGGUGGGGCUUGGCUGGGGCCUGGCUGGGGCUGGCUGGGGCUGGCUGGACGCUCACCAGAGCGAGGCAGGAGCCAGGAAUGAGCACCCCGCCUCUCCGAGAAGCCUUCAGGGCACAGGAACCCAUGAUGUUCAUGAGGCUCAGCCCAUGUCAGGCCCCACAACAGUUCGCGAAGGGCUGUUUUCCAUCCCUGCCCAGACUUCAGAACGCGAACUGCUCAGCCCCAUGGGACCAACCUGGGUGGGGCGGACACGGGCCGCCCAGCCCCUCCUGCUGGGUGUGCCACCUGCUUCCUUGCAGCUGACCAGAGUCACUUCCAACCAGCCUGUCUCCCUAUCACCCCUUCUCCCAGCUGCCCAGAGCUGUCCUGGUGACAGUGGGUGACCUCAGGCAGUGGUGCCCAUGGGCUGUGGUGCCCAUGGGCUGGGUUAGUGGUGCCCAUGGGCUGGGUCCUCCCCAUGCCGUGGGGAAGCAGUGGUGCCCAUGGGCUGGGUCCUCCCCGUGCCUCACGGAGCCACAUCCUCUUGGGCCCCAGUGCCAGAACCACCUUUCAGAAACCUUGAGGAUGGGCCCCCGCCUCUGCAUGCAACCCUGAGCCCCCACCCCACAGUCCUGGCCUCCCAAGGUGACCCCCUCCCUCCCUGCCAGGCUGGUGGCCCAGAUCCAUGAUGAGCUGCUGUUUGAAGUGGAAGAUCCGCAGAUCCCGGAGUGUGCAGCUCUCGUCAGGAGGACCAUGGAGUCCUUGGA
This is a non-coding RNA of Macaca mulatta (Rhesus monkey), 5812 nucleotides long. Lineage: Eukaryota; Metazoa; Chordata; Mammalia; Primates; Cercopithecidae. The record is from RefSeq and is a predicted model, not a curated record.